This 673-nucleotide ribosomal RNA is filed under the name uncultured bacterium. RNAcentral's name for it is "bacterial SSU rRNA". It matches the Rfam family "Bacterial small subunit ribosomal RNA", at positions 56 to 716 of the family's 1533-position model. The record is from RNAcentral.
UGCAGUCGUGCGACGGCUCGCCCCAAAGGGCGGGUACGGAGCGGCAGACGGGUGAGUAACACGUAGCUAACCUACCCGUCCGCCGGGGAUAACCCUCCGAAAGGGGGGCUAAUACCCGAUGGUCUUCCGGGGCGCAAGCCUACGGAAGUAAAGGCGCUACGGCGCCGCGGGCGGAGGGGGCUGCGGCCCAUCAGCUAGUUGGUGGGGUAAUGGCCCACCAAGGCGAUGACGGGUAGGGGGCCUGAGAGGGUGGCCCCCCACACGGGGACUGGGACACGGCCCCGACUCCUACGGGAGGCAGCAGUGGGGAAUCUUGGGCAAUGCCCGCAAGGGUGACCCAGCGACGCCGCGUGCGGGAAGAAGCCCUUCGGGGUGUAAACCGCUUUUCUGGGGGAAGAAUAAGGCGGGGAUGGAAUGCCCCGCCGAUGACGGUACCCCAGGAAUAAGGGACGGCUAACUACGUGCCAGCAGCCGCGGUAAGACGUAGGUCCCGAGCGUUGCCCGGAUUUACUGGGCGUAAAGUGCGCGUAGGCGGUUCGGCAAGUCGUCCGUGAAAGCCCGGGGCUCAACCCCGGGAGGCCGGGCGAGACUGCCGGGCUAGAGGACGGCAGAGGAGGGUGGAGCGGCCGGAGUAGCGGUGAAAUGCGUAGAUACCGGCCGAAAUCCCGAUGGC